RNAcentral lists this ribosomal RNA (484 nucleotides) under uncultured bacterium. Its description in RNAcentral is "partial 16S ribosomal RNA". It matches the Rfam family "Bacterial small subunit ribosomal RNA", at positions 30 to 507 of the family's 1533-position model. The record is from RNAcentral.
AUUGAACGCUGGCGGAAUGCUUUACACAUGCAAGUCGAACGGCAGCACGGGGGCAGCCCUGGUGGCGAGUGGCGAACGGGUGAGUAAUACAUCGGAACGUGCCCGGUCGUGGGGGAUAACGUAGCGAAAGUUACGCUAAUACCGCAUACGAUCUGAGGAUGAAAGCGGGGGACCUUCGGGCCUCGCGCGAUCGGAGCGGCCGAUGUCAGAUUAGGUAGUUGGUGGGGUAAAGGCCUACCAAGCCGACGAUCUGUAGCUGGUCUGAGAGGACGACCAGCCACACUGGGACUGAGACACGGCCCAGACUCCUACGGGAGGCAGCAGUGGGGAAUUUUGGACAAUGGGCGCAAGCCUGAUCCAGCCAUUCCGCGUGCAGGACGAAGGCCUUCGGGUUGUAAACUGCUUUUGUACUGAACGAAAAGGCUCUGGCUAAUACCUGGGGCUCAUGACGGUACCGUAAGAAUAAGCACCGGCUAACUACGUG